CCUACGGGGGGCUGCAGUGGGGAAUAUUGGACAAUGGGGGCAACCCUGAUCCAGCCAUGCCGCGUGUGUGAAGAAGGCCCUCGGGUUGUAAAGCACUUUCAGUGAGGAAGAACGCCUGGUGGUUAAUACCCAUCAGGAAAGACAUCACUCACAGAAGAAGCACCGGCUAACUCCGUGCCAGCAGCCGCGGUAAUACGGAGGGUGCGAGCGUUAAUCGGAAUUACUGGGCGUAAAGCGCGCGUAGGUGGCUUGAUAAGCCGGUUGUGAAAGCCCCGGGCUCAACCUGGGAAUGGCAUCCGGAACUGUCAAGCUAGAGUGCAGGAGAGGAAGGUAGAAUUCCCGGUGUAGCGGUGAAAUGCGUAGAGAUCGGGAGGAAUACCAGUGGCGAAGGCGGCCUUCUGGACUGACACUGACACUGAGGUGCGAAAGCGUGGGUAGCAAACAGGAUUAGAUACCCUAGUAGUC
This 465-nucleotide ribosomal RNA is filed under the name Vreelandella stevensii. RNAcentral's name for it is "partial 16S ribosomal RNA". It matches the Rfam family "Bacterial small subunit ribosomal RNA", at positions 338 to 795 of the family's 1533-position model. Lineage: Bacteria; Pseudomonadati; Pseudomonadota; Gammaproteobacteria; Oceanospirillales; Halomonadaceae. The record is from RNAcentral.